Long non-coding RNA from Apis florea (little honeybee), 4678 nucleotides. The record is from RefSeq and is a predicted model, not a curated record. NCBI's taxonomy places the organism in Eukaryota, Metazoa, Arthropoda, Insecta, Hymenoptera, Apidae.
UAAUAAAUUGUUUCCUGCGAUAUAAUAAUGAUAUAUAAAAUAAAAUUUAAAAAAUAUAAAUAUAAAUAUAUGUAAUUUCUAAGGAAUAAUUCCUUUUGAUUUUCUUAUAAUUUUUACUUUUUUUUAAAAUGAUAAUGACUAUCAUGGAUUGAUCAUGUAAGGGGCUAAAAGUGUAAUAAAAAUAAGAUUAUAAAUAAAAAAACAAAUGCUAAUCCGAUUGAUGAAAUUAAUGAAAUAAUCAUUUAAAGAAUGAUAUUAAAGAACAUGAAUAAAUCGAUAAAUAUAUACAACGACACGAAUAUAAAUAUUUACAAAAAGAUUUCAAAUUUUGAGCGAUCGAAAGAAGAUAAAACUAGAAAAAAAUUUUCGAUCGCUGAACUAGCUAACUUCAGCUAGCUACACGAUACUAUAUUGCACAUCAUUCUCGCGUCCUCGACAUUAAAACGAAGAAAAGAAAACAUGAUUUAAUGUCGAUCUUUCUAAUUAUUUUUUUUAAGACGACACGAUCAAGAAUCUCUUUCUUCGCUGAAAAGUCAAUAACAGUAAUGACGCACGUAAUUAGGAAAAAUAAUCAUCUAAAAAAUAGUCCAAAUUUCGCGAGGGAAAUACGCCGAUUAUGUAAAGAGGACGAGGAAGAACAUGAAAGGAUCCACGGAAGGCGAAUAUUCUCUAAGCGAGAACGACGAGCUUUAUCGAUUUCACGCGGAUCACGAAUCUUUGGCACACAUUGGAAGAUUCCAUCGAAAACCCAUCAAAGAUUCAAUCGAAGAUUCAUCGACGAUUUAUCGAACGAUCGAUUGAUCGAUAUAGAAAUAAUGUUUUCUGAGUUAGCAUAACAUUUUUAUUUUUCUUUCAAAAAUAUCAACAUUUAUGUCGAUAUGAACAAUUAACCUUUUUAAUAUGCUCGAGUUUAAUACAAAUUAUUGUUGCAAAUGGACUUUUUAUAUUUUUAUUUAUUUUUUAGUGAUGUUAUUUUGACAUGUUUAUGUUCUUUGGCAACAAAAUUUAAAUUAUUAAAUUCCCAUCGAUAAUAAUAAUUAUAGAUAAUUAAGAAUUCAUUAAAAAAUUUGCAAAAAUCUGACUUAAAUUAAUAAUGUCAGAAAUUAUUGUUAAACGUUAAUAAGUAAAUAUCAAGAGAACAUUAUAAAUGAUUUUUCUGUUACAAAUAAAUAUUUAUAUUAACGAAAAGGUUAAUCAUUUAAAAAUGUUUAAUUACUGAUUUAUUUUGCUAUCUAAGUAAAAUAACAUCGGUACCUUAUUAUUAGAUUAACUCAGGAAACAUUGUUCGACAGUCUUGCUUCGAAUAUACGUAUCAUCAUCGAACAUCAUUACAAUCAUCUAAAAAAUGGACACCGAACGAAACGACACGCUUAUGCAUAUAUGCAUGUGUACUGACCAUCGUGCACCGUGUAUUGAAACACAUAUUGUAUUGGGAGUUAAUAUUGAACUCUGGAUAUAAAUACGAACAACGAUCAAGAUAAAGAUCAAGAAAAAUUCCAUCUAACCAUUCUUAUCUUUCUUUCUUGAUUUCACUAUUUUCAUUUCGUUCUCAGAGCUCGAUUCUAGAAGACACUGAAUUUACCCUGCAAUGAAUAUACACACAGAGAAUAAUUGAAAAAUCUGAAUCCGAUUUUGCUCGCCAGAUGUCAUUGAAGCGAAUUAUAAAAGCACGCUCUAGUUUAAAAAUGACGAACUAAUAAUACAUCCUUGAUCUGUAGAAUCAUUUGUACAUACCGAUUUGAUUCUUACAAUAUAUAUUAUAGAUUUUAUAAUCUAUAUUGAAAUUUUACAAUUUCUUUCUUUUUUUUAACGUUACUAAUGUUUCAUUGUGUACUUUAUUAGUUGAUUAACAUAAGAACAGUUCGUGCAAUCCAACAUUGAAGAAAUUCGUUAUAGUUCUAUUCUAGGUUAUGACAAACGAAGCUUCUAUGGAAAAAACCUGGAACAAAGAUAAACGACUAAUAAACGGCGGAAGAACAACUUGAAUUGGAGAUUGAAGAUGAAGAAGAGGAUAAAGAAGAAAACGUUUUUUGAUGAAAACUAAGUUUUCAGCUCGCACACCUUUUCAUUAUUUUAUCUCCUCUAACUCUGUUUAUUUUUCUCUUCACUUUCUUUUUUUUUUAAAUAGUAUAAUUUAUACUCCACGUAAUAAUUUUAUUUUUUUCUUUCAAUAGAAGAAUGCCUAUCAUCAAUUCGAUAUUUCAUAAUAUUAUCGAAUAUUAUCUUCGAUUAACGAAUCGAAUUGACGAUAUUUUUUUUCUUUUUUUCGACAAUUUUGUCGUUUAUAUUUUUUUUAUUUCUUAUUUUUUUCUUUAAAGAUUUGCCAUACUGGAUUCGAAACCGGUUCCAAACUCUGGCUUCGAGGCUUUUUAAGAUGAUAUUUUCAAAGAGGAACUCGACGAGAGAUCCAGCUACGGCCAUGGUCACUUCGAGCUAAAAGAAAAGAAACACGAAUGCUUUCUUUUCUUUUUAAUAUUAAUUUUCAAAUCGAUCUUUAUCUCUUUUGUUUGAGAAUUCAUCAAAAUAGAAAAUAUUGAUAUUUUUAAUAAUUGGUAAACUGCUUUCUUUUUAUUACGAUUUUAAGUAAAUUUUACCAAUGGAAGAUGACAAAGAUUUAAUGAUUGGAAAGCAUCGGUGGUUACGAAAAUUGAUGAUUUGUUCAAAAUUUAACAAAUCUAUCAUAUAUUAUUUUUAUACUUCAUAAAAUAUGAACAAUGUCAAGAAAGUAAAAAUUAAUAAAAAUGUUGGGAUGUUCUAAUGUAUUAAAUUAAAACUUUAUUGACUAAAUAUGAUUGAUAUAAUAUAUAUAAUUAAAUUUAUACUUAUAUUUUCUCUUUUAUAUAGAUUAUAUAACAAAUUGAAUAUUGGAAGAAAUUAUUUAAAGUUAUUAUCAUUAAAUAAAAUUUAAUGAAAAUAUUCGAACCUGAAAUAAAUAAAUAAUUUAUGAUUAUGAUACUGCAGAAAAUAUAAUAAAUAAAGGAUUUAUUUGAAUGAAAUGUGCAAGACGAAUUGAAUGGCGCGCGCAUAACUAAUGGCUGCUUAGUCUACUUCUUCGAAUGAAUUACCGAGCAUCGUAAAGAUUUUAUGAUGCAUUAUGUUUGGUGAAAUACUUCAGCCAUACUAGAGAGCUAAAUUAUGCAUUGAAUGCAUCAAUUUAUCGAUUAUUAUGCAACAAAAAUGAAUAAAAAGUUGCUUUGUACUAAAGACAAAAGGUAAUAAUUAUAAUAUUUAAAAUUUAAUAUCAAUUAUAUAUUUUACAAUUAAUUAUGUUAAAUUAAUUUUCUAUAAUUCUCUGCUAAUUCUUCACUUCCUUUAAAUUAUAAAAAUUAUAUAUAAUUAAAAUAUAUAUUUUAAAGUUUAUAUUUUCUUUCCUAAUAUAAUCAUCUAACUAAUUUUUAUUAAAACCCUUAAUAUUUUUAUUAGUUAAUUAUAGAGUUUUACUUUUUAUUUAUUAUUUUUAUUAUUUCUCUUUUUCUAAAUAAGAACAAAUAAAUUUAAUAAUAAGAAGAAUAAAUCUUAUUCUUUACAAUGAAAACAAAUAAAAUAUUUUUUGUUCAUUGUUGCACAUAACAUUUAUGCACAUAAAUUUGUCUAUAGAUAAAUUAAUAAAUAUAACAAUAGACACACAAAUAUAAUUUCUAUUACAAAAUAACAAUAUUCAAAACAAAUUUAAUUAAAUGUUAAAUUUAAAGAAUUUCCACUUUCACCGAGGCUUUCCAAAAAAAAAUUAAAUUAAUUAUCAUUAUGGAUGAUAAUAAUGGAAUAAGAUUUUUAAAAAAUGGCACAAAAUUUUAAUAAUUUUAAGAAUCUUGUUUUUAAAUUGAUCAGGACUCUACUUGAUAAGAUCUCUGAUAAUCUGAACACAUUAAAACAGCAUAUUGAUUUUAUUCUAGAUCUCCUCUUAAUCUCUGUCGAGUCUCCGUCAUGGCUUCAAACAGAUAAAGAACUUAUAUUGAAUCUCCUAAAAGAUGGUCAAUUCAUUGAAAAGGGACAAGAAGACUAUUGUCUCAAAAAUUAAUCAAUUAUCAAGUUAAAGACCCCUCUACUUCGUCUCGAUCGACGCAGAAAACCAACAGAAUUAUAGAAAAUAACACUUGGGCUGUAUUUGAUGAUGAACUGGAGCUUCAAAAAUCCCAAGUGAUAAUUUCUUUUUCUUAUGAUGUAGCUUAUUGAAGUACAUUCUUUUCGCGAGCAUAUCUUUGUUAGAAAAUAAAAAAUUCUCCAAUCAUGGAGGAUUUUUCUUUUCAAACAAAAGAUGGAUUAUCUAUAUUCUAGAGCAAAAAGUUAAUAAGAAAUCUGAUUUCUUCUAAAGAUAGAAUCUGAAAGUUCUUUUUUUCAUUUCAUAUCUGUAGUGAGAAAUAUAAUCGAGUAACAAUUAUUUUCUAUUCUUCACUGAUACUCUGAAUGCUUAUAUGAAAUCAAUAUGCCUUUAAUGAUAUUUAUUAAUGAUUCUAAAAGAAUUUAUUAAAAGAUUUCUUUAUCCAAAAAAAAUAAAAAUACCAAUAAUAGAGAAACUUCUAUUAAAUUGGAAAUCUAAGUUCUGCUGGAUAUUUUCAUACUGGAGAUUUCAAUGUCCAAAGAGGGGUCAUCAUCCCAUUGGGGUGGUUUUAUGUUUUAAAUUAGCUAAAUGGGUGAAAAGAAUCCCAUCAGUCUCCAUUCCUUAAAAUAGCCAGCAAUA